UACGUAGGGGGCUAGCGUUGUCCGGAUUUAUUGGGCGUAAAGAGCGUGUAGGCGGCCAGGUAGGUCUGCUGUGAAAACUCGAGGCUUAACCUCGAGAUGUCGGCGGAAACCAUCUGGCUAGAGUCCGGAAGAGGAGAGUGGAAUUCCCAGUGUAGUGGUGAAAUACGUAGAGAUUGGGAAGAACACCAGUGGCGAAGGCGGCUAUCUGGACGGUUUCUGACGCUAAGACGCGAAAGCGUGGGGAGCAAACAGG
Molecule: ribosomal RNA, 253 nt
Filed under: uncultured bacterium
Lineage: Bacteria
Description: partial 16S ribosomal RNA
Rfam family: Bacterial small subunit ribosomal RNA
Source: RNAcentral